CCUUGGAAGUAAAAGUCGUAACAAGGUCUCCGUUGGUGAACCAGCGGAGGGAUCAUUACUGAGUUUACGCUCUACAACCCUUUGUGAACAUACCUACAACUGUUGCUUCGGCGGGUAGGGUCUCCGCGACCCUCCCGGCCUCCCGCCUCCGGGCGGGUCGGCGCCCGCCGGAGGAUAACCAAACUCUGAUUUAACGACGUUUCUUCUGAGUGGUACAAGCAAAUAAUCAAAACUUUUAACAACGGAUCUCUUGGUUCUGGCAUCGAUGAAGAACGCAGCGAAAUGCGAUAAGUAAUGUGAAUUGCAGAAUUCAGUGAAUCAUCGAAUCUUUGAACGCACAUUGCGCCCGCCAGCAUUCUGGCGGGCAUGCCUGUUCGAGCGUCAUUUCAACCCUCAAGCUCUGCUUGGUGUUGGGGCCCUACAGCCGAUGUAGGCCCUCAAAGGUAGUGGCGGACCCUCCCGGAGCCUCCUUUGCGUAGUAACUUUACGUCUCGCACUGGGAUCCGGAGGGACUCUUGCCGUAAAACCCCCCAAUUUUCCAAAGGUUGACCUCGGAUCAGGUAGGAAUACCCGCUGAACUUAAGCAUAUCAAUA
RNAcentral lists this ribosomal RNA (594 nucleotides) under Colletotrichum gloeosporioides. RNAcentral describes it as "eukaryotic LSU rRNA". The stretch from base 231 to 384 matches the Rfam family "5.8S ribosomal RNA". Lineage: Eukaryota; Fungi; Ascomycota; Sordariomycetes; Glomerellales; Glomerellaceae. The record is from RNAcentral.